RNAcentral lists this ribosomal RNA (253 nucleotides) under uncultured bacterium. RNAcentral's name for it is "partial 16S ribosomal RNA". It matches the Rfam family "Bacterial small subunit ribosomal RNA", at positions 524 to 776 of the family's 1533-position model. The record is from RNAcentral.
UACGGAGGGUGCGAGCGUUAUCCGGAAUUACUGGGUUUAAAGGGUGCGUAGGCGGCGCAGUAAGUCAGGUGUGAAAGUUUGCGGCUCAACCGUAAAAUUGCUUUUGAUACUGCUGUGCUAGAAUUAGGAUGAGGUCAGCGGAAUGUGGCAUGUAGCGGUGAAAUGCAUAGAUAUGCCAUAGAACACCAAUUGCGAAGGCAGCUGGCUAGACCUAUAUUGACGCUGAGGCACGAAAGCGUGGGGAGCGAACAGG